UACGGGGGGGGCAAGCGUUGUUCGGAAUUACUGGGCGUAAAGGGCUCGUAGGUGGCCAACUAAGUCAGACGUGAAAUCCCUCAGCUUAACUGGGGAACUGCGUCUGAUACUGGAUGGCUUGAGUUUGGGAGAGGGACGCGGAAUUCCAGGUGUAGCGGUGAAAUGCGUAGAUAUCAGGAGGAAUACCGGUGGCGAAAGCGACUCUCUGGACGGCAACUGACGCUGAGGCACGAAAGCGUGGGGAGCAAACAGG
RNAcentral lists this ribosomal RNA (253 nucleotides) under uncultured bacterium. RNAcentral's name for it is "partial 16S ribosomal RNA". It matches the Rfam family "Bacterial small subunit ribosomal RNA", at positions 524 to 776 of the family's 1533-position model. The record is from RNAcentral.